CCUACGGGAGGCUGCAGUGGGGAAUAUUGCACAAUGGGGGAAACCCUGAUGCAGCGACGCCGCGUGAGUGAAGAAGUAAUUCGUUACGUAAAGCUCUAUCAGCAGGGAAGAAACACUGACCUUACGGUCAGCAGACGGUACCUGAGUAAGAAGCCCCGGCUAACUACGUCCCAGCAGCCGCGGUAAUACGUAGGGGGCAAGCGUUAUCCGCAUUUACUGGGGGGAAAGGGAGCGUAGACGGUGUGCCACGUCUGGAGUGAAAGGCAGGAGCUUAACCGCGGAACUGCUUUGGAAGCUGGCGAACUAGAGUGGGGGAGGGGUAAGCGGAAGUGCUGGUGUAGCGGUGAAAUGCGUAGAUAUUAGGAGGAACACCGGUGGCGAGGGCGGCUUACUGGACCGAAACGGACGUUGAGGCUCGAAAGCGUGGGGAGCAAACAGGAUUAGAUACCCAGUAGUC
RNAcentral lists this ribosomal RNA (457 nucleotides) under uncultured bacterium. RNAcentral's name for it is "partial 16S ribosomal RNA". It matches the Rfam family "Bacterial small subunit ribosomal RNA", at positions 338 to 795 of the family's 1533-position model. The record is from RNAcentral.